AAAAAGAACCCAUUGGAAAUAGUGGUGUUUGCCACCCCUAUUCGAAGCUGUUUUUGUUCACUAUGUGUAAGUUUGCAAUCUGAGAGCAGUACCGGAUGUUUAUUAUUAGAAAAGAUUACUGAGGAUAUUUAUCAGGUUUUACAAAGUCAUUUUUAAAAAGCAAGAUUAACAUUAAUAGAAUAACAUUUUAGGGAAGCUGGCUCCCUAGUCAUAUUUUAAAAGAUCAUUUGUAUAUUAUUUAUCACACUGUUGUAAUGUUUUCAGAUACUUUUAUAACAAAAUUGUCAAAAAUCUUUAAUAAUCUUUAUAAAAAGUAUUUACUUUAUUGAUGUGUACGUGUUGUUGGUGAAUUAAUUCCACAAAUCUCUUCUUGGUUUAACUUAUUGGAUCAAAUAAUCUUCAGCAUAUACAUGUGACAGAAAGUAGUUCAAAUACUUACGUUGAUGUACACUUCCAUUUUAUGUAUUAAUGCUAAUAUUUCCAUAAGUUACCAGCAAAUUACUGCAAAAAGCCUGAAUCUGUACAAUUUUAUUUCAGUCAGAAACAACUGAUAAUCUGAUAUAUGUCAAGUGAUAAAUGUCUUUUUCUUCUGUACCCAUACUACAGAUACUUUCUCAAGCUCUUCCUUUAAGCAGUUUUUUUAAAACGGCUCUAUGGUUCUAUUCAAGCUGUAUGUAGAGACUGAGUGUGAUGUCAGCAUGAAAAGAUAAUGCAUGGUGAGAAGCUAUUGUUUUAUAGGAUAUAUGAUAUAUUUAUAUGCUUAGGCCAUGAAUGAAUGUAUUACAGAAUGUUUUUGUGAAACUGUUUACUUAAGCUGUAACAAAACAGACUCAUUUCAUGGGGGAAAAAAAAAGCAUUGCUUUCCUUCAUGUGUGGGAGGGAGCCAAGAAAAUUAUUGCUUGCCCUGAAAAGACUUUUCUCUGUAUGUAUCUUUCAACAUGCUUCAGUUUUAUCAAUGCUACAGUAUUUUGUAUUUUCAAACAAGUAUAAACACUGCAAUAAAAAGUAGGUUUUU
Molecule: long non-coding RNA, 1015 nt
Filed under: Mus musculus (house mouse)
Lineage: Eukaryota; Metazoa; Chordata; Mammalia; Rodentia; Muridae
Description: long non-coding RNA chr16:56689113-56690128
Source: RNAcentral